RNAcentral lists this ribosomal RNA (467 nucleotides) under uncultured bacterium. RNAcentral describes it as "bacterial SSU rRNA". It matches the Rfam family "Bacterial small subunit ribosomal RNA", at positions 355 to 825 of the family's 1533-position model. The record is from RNAcentral.
UGAGGAAUAUUGGACAAUGGGCGCAAGCCUGAUCCAGCCAUGCCGCGUGCAGGAUGACGGUCCUAUGGAUUGUAAACUGCUUUUGUACAGGAAGAAACAGUUCUACGUGUAGAACCUUGACGGUACUGUAAGAAUAAGGAUCGGCUAACUCCGUGCCAGCAGCCGCGGUAAUACGGAGGAUCCAAGCGUUAUCCGGAAUCAUUGGGUUUAAAGGGUCCGUAGGCGGUUAGAUAAGUCAGUGGUGAAAGCCCAUCGCUCAACGGUGGAACGGCCAUUGAUACUGUCUGACUUGAAUUAUUAGGAAGUAACUAGAAUAUGUAGUGUAGCGGUGAAAUGCUUAGAGAUUACAUGGAAUACCAAUUGCGAAGGCAGGUUACUACUAAUGGAUUGACGCUGAUGGACGAAAGCGUGGGGAGCAAACAGGAUUAGAUACCCAUGUAGUCCCUGAGCGGGCUGGCAAGGCGCAU